This is a long non-coding RNA of Carassius auratus (goldfish), 273 nucleotides long. RefSeq lists it as uncharacterized. NCBI's taxonomy places the organism in Eukaryota, Metazoa, Chordata, Actinopteri, Cypriniformes, Cyprinidae. The transcript is spliced from 3 exons. The record is from RefSeq and is a predicted model, not a curated record.
AAGUGAGACAGGAACGAGUGGCGCAUUGUUAAAUGAGUAACGCCUGUAACUCUUGGAUUUCGCUGUGUGAUUUCACUUUAACUGCUCCAAGUCGAGAUGUUUGGCUUUCAUAAGCCGAAGAUGUACCGCAGCCUUGAUGGAUGCUGCAUCUGCAGGGCAAAGUCCUCCAGCUCUCGUUUCACUGACAGCAAACGCUAUGAGAGAGACUUUCAGAGCUGCUUUGGGUUAGGUGAAACUCGCUCUGGUGAAAUCUGCAAUGCUUGUGUUCUGCUG